Molecule: ribosomal RNA, 497 nt
Filed under: uncultured bacterium
Lineage: Bacteria
Description: partial 16S ribosomal RNA
Rfam family: Bacterial small subunit ribosomal RNA
Source: RNAcentral
GAUGAACGCUGGCGGCGUGCCUAAUACAUGCAAGUCGAGCGAACAGAUAAGGAGCUUGCUCCUUUGACGUUAGCGGCGGACGGGUGAGUAACACGUGGGUAACCUACCUAUAAGACUGGGAUAACUUCGGGAAACCGGAGCUAAUACCGGAUAACAUUUGGAACCGCAUGGUUCUAAAGUGAAAGAUGGUUUUGCUAUCACUUAUAGAUGGACCCGCGCCGUAUUAACUAGUUGGUAAGGUAACGGCUUACCAAGGCGACGAUACGUAGCCGACCUGAGAGGGUGAUCGGCCACACUGGAACUGAGACACGGUCCAGACUCCUACGGGAGGCAGCAGUAGGGAAUCUUCCGCAAUGGGCGAAAGCCUGACGGAGCAACGCCGCGUGAGUGAUGAAGGGUUUCGGCUCGUAAAACUCUGUUAUUAGGGAAGAACAAACGUGUAAGUAACUGUGCACGUCUUGACGGUACCUAAUCAGAAAGCCACGGCUAACUACGUG